UUAUUCCGAAAGUCUAAAGUCCUUCCAAUUUUCACCAAUUCCGACCUACCUUUAUUUAUGGGAUAUUUGAAGGAGAGCUUUGUAACUUUUUCUAUAAAAUUCUCUCUAGCUCGAAGAAUUUGUUUGAUUCUCCCUAUAAAAAUAGUUAAGGAAAAAGGGGCGCUUUUGUUAAAGGACUCACUAUUGUAGAGAAGAUCUCCUUGGCUCACGAGGUGGCUUUAAGUGAUAGGGGAUUUUAACCUAAAGACAACAUAGGAGGGAGGGGGGUCAAAAGAAAGUCAGGAUAUGGCAAAAGCAUCUUUUUGGAUCGAAUGGGCUUUUGUGAUAAAUGGCGGAAUUUGAUA
RNAcentral lists this long non-coding RNA (344 nucleotides) under Nicotiana benthamiana. Its description in RNAcentral is "long non-coding RNA (NBEN_LNC006068)". The record is from RNAcentral. Lineage: Eukaryota; Viridiplantae; Streptophyta; Magnoliopsida; Solanales; Solanaceae.